Molecule: long non-coding RNA, 12146 nt
Filed under: Zostera marina
Lineage: Eukaryota; Viridiplantae; Streptophyta; Magnoliopsida; Alismatales; Zosteraceae
Description: long non-coding RNA (ZMAR_LNC004164)
Source: RNAcentral
CGAAUUCCGUUACUUCAUCUAAACCAGUUGCCUAACAACGAGAGGAGGGGAGAAGGUUGGAAAAAACUGGAAGAAAUAAGUUGCAGGUUUUUUACAGAGGUGCGUUUGAUUGAUGCUUCUUAUAUUACCAUCAUUUAAUUAUAAUUAUUACAUAUUAUCAAUGGCAGAUCAAAAACGGAGGAUAUGAAAAGAUCGCCGUCGCCAAACCCGAGCUCUUUUACAUCCAAUCUUCUUGGAGGGAGGUUUUGUCUUUGUUCUCCGACGACGCAUCCCGGCUCUUUCCGACGACGCUUGCAACCACCGUAACGAAAACAAACAAUCAAAUCAUCGGGGUGCCAACACCAUCAAGAACUUUGUUCCCUCCUCCAAGACCGAAGAAAAUAUCUAUUACCUCAACUACUGCAACUAAAGUUUUUGAUUCCACCGGGGUGUCAUAAUCAAGAACUUUGUUCCCUCCUCCUCGACCAAGGAAUUUAUCUUCCGAAACUGAAUUUCUUGAUUCUACAGAGAAUAAAGAAACAACAUCACACUCCUGGCAAGAAUAAAUAAGAUGAAUUCAAAUUCAAAUUUUAUUUGAUUUUAUUUUUUUAAAUAAUUUCAAGCAUUUUUCUUCUUUAUUAAAUUCCAAUAUCGGCAUUAUAAUGUAAUCUGAAACACAGUAAAACAGUUGUUUGCUUAUGAAAUACUAUAAAUAUUGAUGAUCCUAUGAUAAUUAUUAGAAAGGUUUAAAAAACAACAUUUUCAGGAUAAACAGAGCUGUUGAUUCAUUAUUGGCAUCAAAGAUUUGCAACCAUUGCCAGUUUCUGAAGAAAGGAAAUAAAAAAAAAGAUAAGAAAACAAGAUUGAACUAACUUUCAACUUAUUUGCAAUCUGACCCAACAACCGCAUCCACCAAUUGAUCGAUCUUCUUGUCGGAAUUCUUGACGUCCACCACCUCCCCAUCUCCAGAUCGAUUAUCUCCGCCUUCGUCGCCGGAAUCGGAAAGGUCAAGGGACCGUGACCGACUGACGUAGAGGGGAACCGAAGUACUAAUGUGAGAUGCAGAUAUUAUGGACAUUGAUAGCGGUUAUCUGUGGUAUGAAUCGAGGGUGGUGCACGACUAGAUCCCGUGCGGGUUGAUUUUAUAUCCAAGGAAAUGUCCUUAUGUCACCUUGAACGUGCAUUUCUUGGCCUUCAAACGUAGGUCUGCCUUUCGGAUGUUGGCUAAAUUUAAUUUCUUAAUUUCAGGUUGGACAGGUGGUCUUGUUAUACAUUGGACUGGACUAAGAUAUCAUUUACGUAUACCUCGACAUUUCUUCCGAUCUGGUUCGCGAAGAUUCGGUCAAUUAACCUUUGGAAUGUUGUUCCCACAUUCCGGAGCCCGAACGGCAUUACCCGUAAAAAGAACGUGUCAUGCUCGGUUACGAAAGACGUUUUUUUCGGUCCUAAUUCGCCCAGUAUGCUGCCUCGGUUCGUGUCACCCCGGAGGGUCUCAUUAUCAUCCUAUGAGAAACCCAAGAGGGUUGUUAAUCUCUUCUUCGUUGUCUUUAAAGUUUAAAGGGUCAUAUUACUUAUAAUAAUACAAAGAUAACAAAAUAAAUGGAAACAAAAUAAUAUAGGGUUAAAUAUGCAAAUUAUUAAAUUUGAAGAUUGUUAUUUCCAAGAUCUUCUAUAAAUGAUCGAAUUCCGUUACUUCAUCUAAACCAGUUGCCUAACAACGAGAGGAGGGGAGAAGGUUGGAAAAAACUGGAAGAAAUAAGUUGCAGGUUUUUUACAGAGGUGCGUUUGAUUGAUGCUUCUUAUAUUACCAUCAUUUAAUUAUAAUUAUUACAUAUUAUCAAUGGCAGAUCAAAAACGGAGGAUAUGAAGAGAUCGCCGUCGCCAAACCCGAGCUCUUUUACAUCCAAUCUUCUUGGAGGGAGGUUUUGUCUUUGUUCUCCGACGACGCAUCCCGGCUCUUUCCGACGACGCUUGCACCCACCGUAACGAAAACAAACAAUCAAAUCAUCGGGGUGCCAACACCAUCAAGAACUUUGUUCCCUCCUCCAAGACCGAAGAAAAUAUCUAUUACCUCAACUACUGCAACUAAAGUUUUUGAUUCCACCGGGGUGUCAUAAUCAAGAACUUUGUUCCCUCCUCCUCGACCAAGGAAUUUAUCUUCCGAAACUGAAUUUCUUGAUUCUAUAGAGAAUAAAGAAACAACAUCACACUCCUGGCAAGAAUAAAUAAGAUGAAUUCAAAUUCAAAUUUUAUUUGAUUUUAUUUUUUUAAAUAAUUUCAAGCAUUUUUCUUCUUUAUUAAAUUCCAAUAUCGGCAUUAUAAUGUAAUCUGAAACACAGUAAAACAGUUGUUUGCUUAUGAAAUACUAUAAAUAUUGAUGAUCCUAUGAUAAUUAUUAGAAAGGUUUAAAAAACAACAUUUUCAGGAUAAACAGAGCUGUUGAUUCAUUAUUGGCAUCAAAGAUUUGCAACCAUUGCCAGUUUCUGAAGAAAGGAAAUAAAAAAAAAAGAUAAGAAAACAAGAUUGAACUAACUUUCAACUUAUUUGCAAUCUAACCCAACAACCGCAUCCACCAAUUGAUCGAUCUUCUUGUCGGAGUUCUUGACGUCCACCACCUCCCCACCUCCAGAUCGAUUAUCUCCGCCUUCGUCGCCGGAAUCGGAAAGGUCAAGGGACCGUGACCGACUGACGUAGAGGGGAACCGAAGUACUAAUGUGAGAUGCAGAUAUUAUGGACAAUGAUAGCGGUUAUCUGUGGUAUGAAUCGAGGGUGGUGCACGACUAGAUCCCGUGCGGGUUGAUUUUAUAUCCAAGGAAAUGUCCUUAUGUCACCUUGAACGUGCAUUUCUUGGCCUUCAAACGUAGGUCUGCCUUUCGGAUGUUGGCUAAAUUUAAUUUCUUAAUUUCAGGUUGGACAGGUGGUCUUGUUAUAUAUUGGACUGGACUAAGAUAUCAUUUACGUAUACCUCGACAUUCCUUUCGAUCUGGUUCGCGAAGAUUCGGUCAAUUAACCUUUGGAAUGUUGUUCCCACGUUCCGGAGCCCGAACGGCAUUACCCGGAAAAAGAACGUGUCAUGCUCGGUUACGAAAGACGUUUUUUUCGGUCCUACUUCGCCCAGUAUGCUGCCUCGGUUCUUGUCACCCCGGAGGGUCUCAUUAUCAUCCUAUGAGAAACCCAAGAGGGUUGUUAAUCUCUUCUUCGUUGUCUUUAAAGUUUAAAGGGUCAUAUUACUUAUAAUAAUACAAAGAUAACAAAAUAAAUGGAAACAAAAUAAUAUAGGAUUAAAUAUGCAAAUUAUUAAAUUUGAAGAUUGUUAUUUCCAAGAUCUUCUAUAAAUGAUCGAAUUCCGUUACUUCAUCUAAACCAGUUGCCUAACAACGAGAGGAGGGGAGAAGGUUGAAAAAAACUGGAAGAAAUAAGUUGCAGGUUUUUUACAGAGGUGCGUUUGAUUGAUGCUUCUUAUAUUACCAUCAUUUAAUUAUAAUUAUUACAUAUUAUCAAUGGCAGAUCAAAAACGGAGGAUAUGAAGAGAUCGCCGUCGCCAAACCCGAGCUCUUUUACAUCCAAUCUUCUUGGAGGGAGGUUUUGUCUUUGUUCUCCGACGACGCAUCCCGGCUCUUUCCGACGACGCUUGCAUCCACCGUAACGAAAACAAACAAUCAAAUCAUCGGGGUGCCAAUACCAUCAAGAACUUUGUUCCCUCCUCCAAGACCGAAGAAAAUAUCUAUUACCUCAACUACUGCAACUAAAGUUUUUGAUUCCACCGAGGUGUCAUAAUCAAGAACUUUGUUCCCUCCUCCUCGACCAAGGAAUUUAUCUUCCGAAACUGAAUUUCUUGAUUCUACAGAGAAUAAAGAAACAACAUCACACUCCUGACAAGAAUAAAUAAGAUGAAUUCAAAUUCAAAUUUUAUUGGAUUUUUUUAAAUAAUUUCAAGCAUUUUUCUUCUUUAUUAAAUUCCAAUAUCGGCAUUAUAAUGUAAUCUGAAACACAGUAAAACAGUUGUUUGCUUAUGAAAUACUAUAAAUAUUGAUGAUCCUAUGAUAAUUAUUAGAAAGGUUUAAUAAACAACAUUUUCAGGAUAAACAGAGCUGUUGAUUCAUUAUUGGCAUCAAAGAUUUGCAACCAUUGCCAGUUUCUGAAGAAAGGAAAUAAAAAAAAAAAAGAUAAGAAAUCAAGAUUGAACUAACUUUCAACUUAUUUGCAAUCUGACCCAACAACCGCAUCCACCAAUUGAUCGAUCUUCUUGUCGGAAUUCUUGACGUCCACCACCUCCCCAUCUCCAGAUCGAUUAUCUCCGCCUUCGUCGCCGGAAUCGGAAAGGUCAAGGGACCGUGACCGACUGACGUAGAGGGGAACCGAAGUACUAAUGUGAGAUGCAGAUAUUAUGGACAUUGAUAGCGGUUAUCUGUGGUAUGAAUCGAGGGUGGUGCACGACUAGAUCCCGUGCGGGUUGAUUUUAUAUCCAAGGAAAUGUCCUUAUGUCACCUUGAACGUGCAUUUCUUGGCCUUCAAACGUAGGUCUACCUUUCGGAUGUUGGCUAAAUUUAAUUUCUUUCAGGUUGGACAUGUGGUCUUGUUAUACAUUGGACUGGACUAAGAUAUCAUUUACGUAUACCUCGACAUUCCUUUCUAUCUGGUUCGCGAAGAUUCGGUCCAUUAACCUCUGGAAUGUUGUUCCUCUUAAAAUUGGUGCGUCUCUGUUUCAAUCUUCGAGGAAGAAACGCACACUGGCCGGCGGAGAUUUCUCACCGGACGACGAGGAAUCAACUAACAAGGGGGCUGAAUUAGGGUUAUUCGAUUUAACCAACAGCCCCCGUUAGUUAGUACUGUAGACUUGCAAUUAGUUGAAACCUUGUUUAGAGAAAAUGUGUGUGUUUUCAUUGAAUUAACCAUUCAAUUACAAUUCACUACUUAUUGACUAAACACAAGCAGAUUAACCUUAACAACAAACUAACUAAUUAACUAUCUUUAAUUAACUAAUUUGUUGUUGGGCCUCACCUCGGCCCAUUCGUCAUUUAAUUCAUUAGCCCAUCAGUGUUUUAAUUGGUGAAGUUGCAGUUUCACCCUUGAACAUGUGAAGUUGUAUUAUCCUGAUAACCUGCACUCAUAUUUAAUUGUAUAUUAGUCCAGUAGUUAUAUGUUUAAAACUAAACCUUGUUAAUUACUUCUUUACUCCCCCCUCAAGUUCUGGAAUAAAUAUUUAUGAUUCCAAGCUUGACAGAGGCUGAAGUAAUCUCAUUUUCACCUAAUGGUUUGGUGAACAUAUCCGCCAAUUGGUACUUUGUCCCAAUUUGCUUUAGACUAAGCACUUCUUGAGUGAUUAGUUCUCUAAUAAAAUGGCAAUCUAUCUCUAUGUGCUUUGUCCUUUCAGACAGGGUUAUUGGCUAGAUUGAUUGCUGAUUUAUUAUCACAAUAGAUGGUUGUUCUAUUGUUGGUUUUGAUUUUCAUUUCCUUAAUUAACUGGUGGAUCCAUAUUACUUCAUAGGCUGUCUGAGCUAUUGCUCUGUAUUCAGCCUCACAUGAGGAUCUCGAUAUAGUUGCUUGUUUCUUGGAUUUCCAGGAAAUUACUGAGUUUCCUAUUAGUGUGCAAAAGCCAGUUACUGACUUCCUGCUAAUUUGACAUCCUGCCCAGUCAGAGUCACAGAAUGCAUGGAUGUUUAAAUUUUCAUUUGGUUUAUAAAGGAUGCCCUGACCUGGUGCUCCUUUUAGAUACCUGAGUACUUUAAACAGAGCUUUUAAAUGAACUUCUUUUGGUUCACUCAUGAACUGGCUUAGCCAGUGAACUGCAUAACUUAGGUCAGGUCUGGUGAUAUUUAGAUAUAUCAGCUUCCCAACUAAUUUUCUAUAAAAUGUUGGGUCUCCAAUUUGUUUAGAUUCAUUUCUAAGAUAUAUGUUUUUCUCCAUAGGUAUUUUAGAUUCUUUUGCACCUGAGAUAUCACUUUCUGCAAGUAUCUCUAGGGCAUAUUUUCUUUGAGAUAAUAAUAUCCCUUCACUAGAAUGAGAAACUUCAAUUCCUAGAAAAUAGUUUAAUUUUCCAAGAUCUUUUAGUUUGAAUUUAUUUUCUAGUUGUAUUUUUAGAAAUGCUAUUUCUAAUUCAUUACUUUCUGUGAUGAUUAUAUCAUCUACAUAGACUAUCAAAUAUAUUAUGUUUUCAUUUUUCUCUCUUAUAAAAAGGGAGUAGUUUGAUUUGGUUUGUAUGAACCCAAACUCUAACAAUGUGUUUCUGAGUUUCUCAAACCAGUUCCUAGAAGCCUGUUUAAGGCCAUAUAGGGAUUUUUUAAAUCUACACACUCUCUUGUCUCCUUCUUUAAGGAGCCCUUGAGGUGGUUUUAUGUAUACUUCUUCAUGAAGAUCACCAUGUAGAAAUGCAUUAUUUACAUCAAUUUGAUAUAAAUUCCAUCUUUUCUGAGAUGCAAUUGCAUUUAGUAUUCUUACUGUUGUCAUCUUUGCAACUGGUGCAAAGGUUUCAUAAAAAUCAAAACCCUCCUUUUGAGAGAAGCAUUUGGCUACUAGCCUGGCCUUGUACCUCUCAAUAUCUCCAUUUGGUUUAUACUUAAUUUUGUAUAUCCACUUGGACCCUACUGUUUUUCUUCCUUUGGGAAGUUCAGUAAUGUCCCAAGUGUUGUUUGUAAUGAGGGCUUCCAUUUCAGUUUUCAUUGCAACUACCCACUUUGGGUCAUUAGAUGCCUCAUUGAAUGUGGUCGGUUCAUUGAUUUGGUUUAUUUGUUUGAGAAAUUCUUUAUGUUUGUCAUUUACCCUAUGAUAUGAUGCAUAGUUACUCAUAGGGUACUUGGUUUUCUUGGAUGGACCAUCAUCCAUGUCAAAAUCAUUAAAGUGUUUUGGUUUGGUUAUCACUCUGCCCAACCUUGUUUUCUUUACAACUUGGGUUAGUAUAAUUUCUAAUUCUUUAUUUCCACUCUUUUUAUUUUGACCUUCAGUUUCCAAAGAUGUUGGAUUUUUAUUUUUGUUGGCAUGAUGCCUAUUUAUACUGUUUUGAUUUUGAAAAUCCUGAGCUGAAACUCCUUUAUUGUGACUCUGUGUAUCUGAGUUACCCAUGGAUGUUUCUUGCUCUGAACUUAAUAUUCUGGACUUUUUGUUGUUUGAGUCUGUAUCAGUUUGGGUGUUAUAGCACUCUUCUGAUAUGGACUGAUAUUCUAGAGUGAGAUUUGACUGACUAGCCUGGUUAUUUCCAGGUAUAUCUGGCCUGCCUGAACUCACUCUGGAUUCUUUAUUUUCUGAUUUAUUUUCAGAAUUAUUUCCAGUUAUAUCUGGCCUAUCUGAAUUCAUUUUGGAUUCUUUAUUUUCUGAUUUUUUUCAGAAUUUUUUUCAGUUCUUGUUUGAUCUUUGGGUUUUGAAAAAGUUUUGGAUUGAUGUGUUUCUAUUACAUCAUUGAAUAUUUUUUGCAAUGGAAAAAUAUCAAUUGUUUUAUUUAGAUGAUCACCUUGAGAUGAUCACCUUGAGAUGUUGUAUGUUGAAAUGGAAAAAUAUCUUCUCUAAAAAUAACAUCUCUACUUAUGCAGAAUUUUUGAUCUUCUAAGCAUAAUAUUAGGUAUCCUUUUACAUUGGGGGGUAUCCCAUAAACACUCCUCUAAAGGUCAUUGGGGAGAAUUUAUGUUCUCUUUUAUUUGUUGUUGCAUAACACAAGCAUCCAAAAGUUCUUAAGAACUUAUACUUUGGUUUUUGUUUGUGUAGAAUUUCAUAUGGAGUGCUAUUAUUUAACAUUUUUGAUGGAAUUCUAUUUAUUAUAUAUGUUGCAGCCAAAAUACAUUCUCCCCAAUAUUUUAUGGGUAUAUUAGCUUGUAUGUGCAAAGAUCUAGCUAUAUUUAAUAGACAUUUAUGUUUUCUUUCAACCUUUGCAUUUUGUUGAGGGUUGUAGGGGCAUGUGACUUGGUGUAGAAUUCCAAGAUUUUCAAGCAUAUGUUUGAACUUAGAGGACUUAAAUUCUCCACCAUUAUCACUUCUAAUUAUUUUUAUAUUUUUGUCAAAAAAGUUUUUAACUUUUGUGAUGAAUCUUUUUAUACAAUCAUAAGCCAUGGAUUUAUCUUUAAUUAGAUAUAUCCAAGUUGAUCUACUUAAAUCUUCCACAAUUGUGAGAAAGUAUUUGAAACCAUCAUGGGUCUCAAAUGGAAACUUGCCUCAAAUGUCAAUGUGUAUUAGGUCAAAUAAAUUUUCACUUACUGUGGUGUUUUUGUUAUAUUUUAGUUUAUUUUGUUUUGAUAGUGGGCAUACAUCACAAUCUUUACUUGAAAAAAUUUUAUUUGAAAAAACAUAAUUUUUAUUUUUAUUUGAAAAAACAGAAUUUUGAUUCAAAACAGAAUUAUUCUAAAAAUUGUUACAAUCACUCUUUUUAUCAGAGUGUUUUCUAUUCAAACUACAAUCUACUUGUUUGUCUCUAAUUAACACAGCAAGCUUCUCAUUUGAAAUGUGUCCAAGCCUGUUGUGCCAAAUUUUAGUUUCUAGGGAGGUAUAUGCAAAUCCAGGAGGGUAGGGUUGUAUAUAUAAAGCCCAUCUUGGCACCUACCCUUCCCAGUCACUCUCCCUGACUUGCUUUCCUAAAAAAAAAGCAAUUUUUAUUGUCAAAUAGCAUUUUAAGAUUACUAUCCAUAGUUAGCUUAUUAACUGAUAUCAAGUUCACUUUGAACUGUGGUAUGUAUAGAACAUCCUCUAGAAUAAUAUCCUUGGAAUGUGUUAUUUUUCCUGUGGAUUUUGUUUUACAAAUUUCACCACUUGGAAUGGUGACAAAAUGUUCAUCUUUUUCAAUGGGUGGUUCAUCAAAAUACUGAAGAUUCCCAGUCAUGUAUUGGGAAGCUCCAGUAUCUAUGAUCCAUUCAUUUUUAAUAUUUAUCAUGUUAUAUGCAUGACUAAUUUUAAAAAAAAAUAAAACAUUAAAAAAAUAACUCAUACCAUUUGAUUUUAUGAAAUCCUUGAGCAUGAGGAGUUCUUCAUUUGAUAUCCCUUGUAUGGCAGAUGUUGAGGCUUGAUUUGCUGUCUCAACUUUGGCCUUUUUGUUUUUGUUCCAUUUCUUGGAGGGAUCUUUGUUUUUAUCAUUUGGGAAUCCUAUGAUGUGGUAACAAUCCUUCCUAACAUGCCCGUAGUAUUUACAAUUAUCGCAAUAUUUUGAAUUAUCUAGCUUCUUUCCACUCUUGCUAUAUAAACAUUUUUCUUCUUCUUUUUCAUUGGUUUUCUUAGCAAAUAGAGCAGAUUCCAUGCUAGUUUUGUCAUUUCUAAAAAUGGUUUUCUGUUUUUCUUCUUGUAUAAUCAAAUAGAAUACUUUGCUCAUACUAGGUAAUUCAUCAUAAGAGAGGAUUUGGCCUCUUAGUGUCUUGAACUCUUCAUUUAACUCCAAAAGGAAUUGAUGGAUUUUAUCCUUUUCCAUCUUCCUACUGUAUUUUGGGGUGCAUAGGUUGCAAAAAUCUAUAUUUUCUAACUCUAAUUUUUGAUUCCAUAAGGCUUUAAAUUUAUCAUAAAAAAUUAUGACUGAAUCACUACCUUGAUGUAAAUUAUUCAGAUCAUACCUCACUUGAUUUACCUUUGGAGCAUUUUCUUGAUCGUACCUUUCUUGAAGGUCUUUCCAAGCUGUACUUGCAGCUUCAGUAUGCAUGAGUAUGGAGGCAAUUUGAGGGGAUACACUGUUAACAAUCCAAGAAAGAACUAGCCCGUUAACAGUUUCCCAUGCUUCAAAUUCCUUCCCUGUUAUAUCCUUUGGUUUUCUGAUUUUACCAUUGAUGAAAUUGAUUUUCCUUCUUGAGAGCAAUGAUAGCUUUAUUGCAUUUGCCCAGGUUGCAUAAUUGGCCUCUCCUGUCAAUUUUUCUCCGACCAUAAGUGCCCCUGGGUGAUCACCGGAGUUCAAGUAAUAAACUGAUUCUUUAUCAUUGAUUGCAGAGACGUGAUCUCUUCUUCUUGACUUGCUGGAUCGAUGGUGGGACUUAUGGUGGGAUUUACGUCGAUGAGAUUUGUGGCGUGGAGAAUGCAGUAUUGAUGUAGGAGAAGAUGCGGCAACACUUGAACCAGUUGGCGUGCCUUUUUCUGGAAAGGCAUUGCUCUUAAUCUUGCUUGCGGAAGCGUCGAAAUUACCGGCUGAUACCAUCUUAAAAUUGGUGUGUCUCUGUUUCAAUCUUCGAGGAAGAAACGCGCACUGGCCGGCGGAGAUUUCUCACCGGACGACGAGGAAUCAACUAACAAGGGGGCUGAAUUAGGGUUAUUCGAUUUAACCAACAGCCCGUUAGUUAAUUAGUACUGUAGACUUGCAAUUAGUUGAAACCUUGUUUAGAGAAAAUGUGUGUGUUUUCAUUGAAUUAACCAUUCAAUUACAAUUCACUACUUAUUGACUAAACACAAGCAGAUUAACCUUAACAACAAACUAACUAAUUAACUAUCUUUAAUUAACUAAUUUGUUGCUGGGCCUCUUUCACCAUUGUCUAAACACCUCGGCCCAUUCGUCAUUUAAUUCAUUAGCCCAUCAGUGUUUUAAUUGGUGAAGUUGCAGUUUCACCCUUGAACAUGUGAAGCUGUAUUAUCCUGAUAACCUGCACUCAUAUUUAAUAGUAUAUUAGUCCAGUAGUUAUAUGUUUAAAACUAAACCUUGUAAAUUACUUCUUUAGUUCCCACGUUCCGGAGCCCGAACGGCAUUACCCGGAAAAAGAACGUGUCAUGCUCGGUUAUGAAAGACGUUUUUUUCGGUCCUGCUUCGCCCAGUAUGCUGCCGAAUCGGACAUCAUCCGGCGCGCUUUCGGGAGUACGCCUUCUCCUUCUAACGCCAGGAACACUUCUCUUUGGUUUGGUCCGGACUCGACCUGUUUGCGGGACCCGGUGUAUGGUGCUUUCCCCUUGUUGUUCUAGGACCUCGAGGGGUAAUGCUUUGUAGGAAGGAGAUGCUCCCUCCUUUUGGUGUCAGUUAUUAUAUCCCCCUCCUCUCCUCUUUUGACAUUGCAUCGCUUGUUUAAAUUUCGGGACCAGGUAAUCCUCCGUGUUCAUCACGCCUUGGGCUCAGGACAACGACGACGAACCGGGUCCCUCUCAGCCCGUUGAGUAAGGCCAUCAUUAUCGUCGAUUCAUCGGCUUCUUCCAGCUAUUGGACCGCCAUGACGAACCGGUUCGUGUCACCCCAGAGGGUCUCAUUAUCACCCUAUGAGAAACCCAAGAGGGUUGUUAAUCUCUUCUUCGCUGUCUUUAAAGUUUAAAGGGUCAUAAUACUUAUAAUAAUACAAAGAUAACAAAAUAAAUGGAAACAAAAUAAUAUAGGGUUAAAUAUGCAAAUUAUUAAAUUUAAAGAUUGUUAUUUUCAAGAUCUUCUAUAGAUGAUCGAAUUCCGUUACUUCAUCUAAAUCAAUUGCCUAACAACGAGAGGAGGGGAGAAGGUUGGAAAAAACUGGAAGAAAUAAGUUGCAGGUUUUUUACAGAGGUGCGUUUGAUUGAUGCUUCUUAUAUUACCAUCAUUUAAUUAUAAUUAUUACAUAUUAUCAAUGGCAGAUCAACAACGGAGGAUAUGAAGAGAUCGCCGUCGCCAAACCCGAGCUCUUUUACAUCCAAUCUUCUUGGAGGGAGGUUUUGUCUUUGUUCUCCGAUGACGCAUCCUGGCUCCUUCCGACGACGCUUGCACCCACCGUAACGAAAACAAACAAUCAAAUCAUCGGGGUGCCAACACCAUCAAGAACUUUGUUCCCUCCUCCAAGACCGAAGAAAAUAUCUAUUACCUCAACUACUGCAACUGAAGUUCUUGAUUCCACCGGGGUGUCGUAAUCAAGAACUUUGUUCCCUCCUCCUCGACCAAGGAAUUUAUCUUCUGAAACUGAACUUCUUGAUUCUACAGAGAAUAAAGAAACAACAUCACACUUUUUGGAAGAAUAAAUAAGAUGAAUUCAAAUUUUAUUGGAUUUUUUUAAAUAAUUUCAAGUAUUUUUCUUCUUUAUUAAAUUCCAAUAUCGGCAUUAUAAUGUAAUCUGAAACACAAUAAAACAGUUGUUUGCUUAUGAAAUACUAUAAAUAUUGAUGAUCCUAUGAUAAUUAUUAGAAAUGUUUAAAAAACUACUUUUUCAGGAUAAACAGAGGUGUUAAUUUAUUAUUAGUAUCAAAGAUUUGCAACCAUUGUCAGUUUCUGAAGAAAGGAAAUAAAAAGAUAAGAUAAGAAAACAAAUUGAACUAAUUUUCAACUUACUUGCAAUCUG